AUUCCUCCAUCCCUCUGUCCUUCCAUCCCUCCAUCCUCCAUCCCUCUAUCCCUCCAUCCCUCCAUCCAUCCCUCCAUCCCUUCAUCCUUCCCUCCAUCCUUUGACAACAAUCUGUUCCAGCUGCUCUCAUUCUCCUCGCCCCAAACGAUCCAGGAGCACAUCUUCUCCUCCUGCACAGUCAGCUGCUCCUGGAGUGACAGCUCCUGCGUCUCCAUGACUCCCACCAACACAGCUCCCAUCCUCUGAGUUUGACACCCCCGAUUAGGAGGGAAAGCGGCGUGGCGAGGAUGCAGCUCCAACCGCCGCAGCCGGAGGUGCUGCGAGCCGGAAAGUGAGCUCUCUUGUUUCAGGUCUGCAGCAGAGCUUGUUUACAUGAGCAGCUGAGGAGGAGGGGGCGUUCAGCCUGACAGGCGAGGCCCCCGCCUUGGAGAACAAGAUGUCUGAGGAGGCCGCUGUUCCACCUGCACGCAGAGAAGUUUCCUCAUGAAAUGCUUCCUAAAUAUCUGACAAAAAAAAUCGAGCAGAAGAGGAUAAUUGGAACCUGGACGCUGAGACAUGGCUGCCUCUCAUCCUGAGCUCCUCAGAGCCUGCAGCAUCUCUCUGCUGUCUGUCAGACGUCUCUGCCGCCUCGGUUCCUGGGAUGUGACGCAGACGCUUUAAGGAGGGAAAUGAAAGGCUCCUGAUUGUAGAAAGAUCUCUGACUGAUGCUUCAGAAGGACUUAGACAUCACAGGUCACACUGAACCCAGAGAUGAACUUCACAACUACAACUUCUCAAUCAGAGGCUAACUUGAUCCUCUGCAGGCUGAAGUUCAACAGAACAACAGCAACGUCCUGAUGAAAAAAGAAUCCAGGACAGAUUCAUAAAACAAGAUUAAAGGAGAACAAUCUAAAGCUGGUGAAGGAGGAGAUUCAGUAGCUAAGGUCGGGUCUACAGGUGUGAAAAUGGAUCUGUAGCUGAUUCAAGAUGAUCCAUACUGGAUAAAAGAUCAAAGGAAGAUCCACAGGUGAUGAAGGAUGAUUGACACCUGAUAAGGAGAAAUCUAAAACAGGAGAAGAAAGAUCGACAGCUGAUGAAAAUGGAUUAAGAACUGCUAGAGGAUCCACAGCUGAUGAAGACUUCUCUUUGGCUGUUAAAAAUGAUCUUCAUUGUCGGUUGAAGGAUCUACAGAUGAUGACGAUGAAUCUGCAGCAUCCUAAGCUGGAUUUAUAACUGCUAAAGGCUGAUCUAAAGAAGGAUCUAGACCUGGUGAUGAGGAAUCGAUUUGAUUACUGAGAAACGCACAAUGAAUAAUAAUGAACGUUAAAACACGUAAAUAUUUCAGAUUAUUGCCUCAAACUAAUUUCCUUCUGGAUUCCUUUCGGCAGGUUGAUGUUAAAAGAAAUAAAACAGAGUUUAAGACAGCGGUCUGCAACCUUUAACACUUGAAGGAGUUGAUUUCUCACCGACCACAACCCGGUAGAAGCCUCACAUCCUUUAGAAAAUCAGACUUUGUAUUUAUCUUAUUGUUAUUUUUCUUAAGAAACAUAAACUAUAAUUUUUUUGGCAUAAAUAAAAAGGACUUUAUGAGGCAUUUGACUUUUUUCCUAAAUAUGAUACAGUUCAUACCUUUUAAUAGAGGUUCAUAAGACUUCCUUUCAAAAUAAAAGACUUCCUGUGUCACAGGAUCAUCUCGAUGGAGCAGAUCUAGUGGUAGGUCGAAUAAUGUCAGCAAAACAUUUUUUUUAAAUGUUUGCGGAGCUUCUUAGCCAGAAAUUCAUACGUUUAACUUUAUAAAAUUAAAAUAGGGAUAAUUAGCCGUAUGUUUUUGACCGUGAGGCACACCUAAACCACUGGAGUUUUUCCAAAGUUUAGUUCUCGAUUAUCAAACCCCUUAUAAGUUACUUUACUUUUUUUACAGUUACUUUUAAACUAAAAGCGUUGUAUUCUUCUUUAACCAGAGUCACAAUGGAUUGGUAGAAGAGCCAGACGUGGCUCUGGAGCUGCAGGUUGAAGGGAUAGACAGUUUACAGAGUUAUAAAAUGCAGGUUCUCAAACCAAAGGCGGAUCCAGAUACCUAAGGAGGAUCUACAGCUGAUGAAAAUGGAUCUACAGCUGAAGGAUCAGCCACAGCUAUCAAAGAAGGAGCUACAGCUGCUCCAGGAAAAACUUGAGUCGCUAAAGGAGGAUUUUAAGGAUGUGAAAGAGGGAUCUACUGCCAAUGAAGAAGAAUCAGCUACUGACAAACCAUCCACACGUAUGUUCAUACACUUGUGCAUAAAAGCCUUAUUGCACGUGUCAAAGUCAAGGCCCGGGGGCCGGAUCCGGCCCUCCGGGUAAUUCCAUCCGGCCCUCCAGAUCAUUUUAUUUUAUUAUUAAUGACC
This is a long non-coding RNA of Oryzias melastigma (Indian medaka), 2363 nucleotides long. RefSeq lists it as uncharacterized. Lineage: Eukaryota; Metazoa; Chordata; Actinopteri; Beloniformes; Adrianichthyidae. The transcript has 3 exons. The record is from RefSeq and is a predicted model, not a curated record.